GAUGAACGCUGGCGGCGUGCCUAAUACAUGCAAGUCGAGCGAACAGACGCGGCGCUUGCUCCUUUGACGUUAGCGGCGGACGGGUGAGUAACACGUGGGUCACCUCCUUAUAAUACUGGGAUAAUUUCGGGAAUCCGGAGAAAAUCCCGGAUAAUAUUCCGCACCGCGUGGUUCGUUAGUGAAAGUUGGCUUUGCUGUCUCUACUCGCUGGACCUGCGCCGUAUUAGCUAGUUGGUAAGGUAACGGCUUACGAAGGCAAGGAUACGUAGCCGACCUGAUAGGGUGAUAGGCCACACGGGAAGUGAGACACGGUCAAGGCUCCUACGGGAGGGAGCAGUAGGGAAUCGGCCGCAAUGGGCGAAAGCCUGACGGAGCAACGCCGCGUGAGAGAUGAAGGCCUUCGGAUCGUAAAACUGUGUUAUUAGGGAAGAACAAACGUGUAAGUAACUGAGCACGUCUUGACGGUACCUAAUCAGAAAGCCACGGCUAACUACGUG
RNAcentral lists this ribosomal RNA (497 nucleotides) under uncultured bacterium. RNAcentral describes it as "partial 16S ribosomal RNA". It matches the Rfam family "Bacterial small subunit ribosomal RNA", at positions 28 to 507 of the family's 1533-position model. The record is from RNAcentral.